Molecule: long non-coding RNA, 1639 nt
Organism: Piliocolobus tephrosceles (Ugandan red Colobus)
Lineage: Eukaryota; Metazoa; Chordata; Mammalia; Primates; Cercopithecidae
Source: Ensembl
UAUAUAUAUAUAUAUAUACAUGUGCAUCCACAUUUAUAUGUAUUUUUUUUUUGUUUUCCAAUUCAAUUUUAUAGACCAAACCCGCAAUUUGUUGGUGAUCAUCCCGUAUCAUUUAUACAGCCAUCUAUGUCAAACUUAAACAACAAAGAUAUUCCUAACUAUGCUAUAAACAACUACUCAUAUGACAAUAUGAAUGCACAUACGAAUUAUGAUAAUACAGUAGUUCCUGCUAAUAAUGUAGGUAACUACUAUCCUAGAAAUUUCCUAGCGACUCAACAGCUUUCUUCUGUUAAUAGUAACAACAGUAGAAACAAUAGUACAAAUUUUUUGAAUAAAAAUAUGAACAAUAAUAAUCAUAUUAACAAUAACAUUAAUCAGAUUAAUAGUGGUAAUAUAAAUACUCCGUUUUUUAAUAAUAGGUAUACAUUUAAUAAUAAUAUUAAUAAUCAAAAUAGUAAUAGCACACUUCCACAACAGCAACUACUACAUGUACAAGCACCAACAUACCUCAAAACGAGAACGCAACUACCAACACAACCACUUAAUAAUAAUUUGAGUUGCAAAAUAAAUAUGAAUGCAAAUUUAUCACAACCAAAUUAUAUAAAUAAUAAUAGGUAUCAAAAUAAUUUAAAUACUAAUAGUAAUUAUGUAUACCCAACAAAUAAUUUGACAAGCAUAAAUAACACUGUGUCAAAUGACAUACACCCGCCAAAUGAUAGUAUGAACACAGCAUCCGUUUUAAAAAAUAAUAAAUCUAUAAAUUAUAUAAAUCCGUACAACAAUAUGUAUAAUCCUGCUACUACUGCUAAUGGUGAUAGUAAUAGUAAUAAUAAUAAUAAUAACAAUAAUAACAAUAAUAACAAUAAUAACAAUAAUAAUAAUAUAAAUAAUGAAUAUACUGACAUCAAACCAAAACAGCCAAAAUAUAAUGUACUUAUGUCGAAUAAACAAAUGGUUUUCAAUAAACAAUUAAUUUUAAAUAAUGAACAAACAAGCUCAAAAACACAGUCUACUGCUUCAGUUACAAACAAACCAUUAAACACAAAUAUAGCUAACGAAACAGAUACUCCAAAUGUUAUAUUAAAUGAUAGUACCAGUAGUAAUAAUAUGAAUGCUCCAACAAACACACAAACGAGUCCAUUUCAGAACAAUACUAGUGCUCAAGUAAUAACAAAUGAUGCUUAUUUUAAUAAUCAAAAAGUUUAUACAGAAGGAAACCAACUAUUAAAUAAAGAAGAACCAAUUGAUGCCUUGAAACCUAUAAUAAAGGUAAGCAUUUUCUUUUUUUUUUUUUUUUUUUUAUCAACAUAUAUAUAAUUAAUUUGGAAAAUUGUGCCAUUGGGGUUGUUUUUAUGUUCUCAUAUAAAUUUUUGUUAUCUUAAUUUACUCAAUUGGCUGUUCUUACAUUUAAUUUUUCAUUUCGUCAUUAUUUACGUCUGCAUUUUUUACCUAUGAAUUUUUUUUUUUUUUUUUUUUUUUUUUUUUAGAUACCAAAAAAAUGCCUAUACCUACCAAACUGUCAAUUUGGAGAUAAAUGUCGUUAUAUCCAUCCUGUUGAAAAUGUAAAAUUUUAUUUUUUAUUUAUGUAUAUUCUAUUCUAUUUUUUUUUUCAUUUCAUUUUUUUUUUUUUUUUUUUUUU